CAAAAUCGUAAUUUCCCCCGCCGUCUUGGUCAGGUCUGUCGGGUGACGGACGAAUUUUUUUUCCGCAAUCACACACACACACACACCUCUCUCUCCUUCUCGACGCUAUCGUUUCGUCAGCUACGUCUUCUUCUCUACAUUCCAAAACCCUAAUUAGUGUUAUUGUUUUUCCAUCUUCCUAUUGAAAUCACUCGACUGAUUUUGUUGCGGACCGAUGCUCGUGUGAGAUUCUGCAUACUGCUUAAAAAUCAGGAAGGAGGAAGCUCUGCAUUGAUAUGCUCAAUAGUAGCGUCUGUAUUCAUCAUGAUUUUUUUUAUUUAAUUUUCUGCCAAAGGUCCAGCAAUGCAAUUAGUAAAGCAUGAUAUUCGGGCAGAGGAUUCAUCAGAAACAGAGCCCAUUUUAUCACAGCCUAGUAUAGCAGAAAGAUUAGAAGAAUCUUCUUCCUCAAUUGAAAUAACUGUGGGUGUGGAAUCUUCUGUAGCUUCUGAGCAUCCAUCAGUUCCCGAAAUUGAUGAGAGUAUUUCUCUAGUUUGCACAGACCAACCGCAGUGCCGCAUCUGCCUUGAUGCUGAAGGAGAAGAUUUAAUAGCUCCAUGCCAUUGCAAAGGAACCCAAAAGUAUGUCCACAGAUCUUGUCUUGAUAAUUGGAGGUCGACAAAGGAGGGCUUUGCUUUUGCUCACUGUACAGAAUGCAGGGCAAAGUUCAUAUUGCGGGCGAAUGUCCCUCCUGAUCGUUGGUGGUUGAGGUUAAAAUUUCAAUUUCUCGUUGCAAGGGACCACGCGAUCAUUUUUGUUAUUGUUCAGCUGGUUGUUGCAUUUCUAGGUGUGCUGGUGUACAAAUUUUAUGGAGAAGAACUACGGGAGAUGUUUGGUUAUGAGGAACAUCCAUAUGGAUUUUAUACUAUGGCUGUUCUGGCUAUUGUUCUGGUGGGUUUGCUCUAUGGCUUCUUCAUUGCAAUAAUAUGCGGUCAGAGGAUCAACGAACGGCACUACCACGUUCUUGCCAAGCAGGAAUUGACAAAGGAGUAUGUGGUAGAAGACCGCGAAGCUAACAAGGAUGUGUCGGAACUUGAUCCCAGCCAUGUGACCGAGCUAAGAAUGCUAGGCCUCUAUUGAGCGCUAAUAGGUCACGAAGAUGGCGUUGAAGGCAUUCUACAACGAGAUCAAGGGCUUGAAGGUGAAAGAUUUGCCGGCGCACCUCAAACCCUAUCUCAACGUUAAAAGCGUGAAGAACGCCGGUAAGCUUUGCAUGGCCGGCCGAUUAUUGCGCCAAAUACAUCGAGACCAUUUCCGGUGACCCGAUUUAUCAUGUCUGCUUCGGCGGAACGGCAUUAUCCUAUCUCAUCGCCCUCCCCAAGUUGCGCCGCGAACACGAGCGCAAAAACGCCGAGCUAUGGAAGAUGGCUUUUGAUUCUGAGCCUCCAUCAUUUGGAAACCAGGUUGAAGCAAGUAUCCGGGCGGCUUUAUUUCACUAGCUAGCUCGUAUUUCUCUAGUUACUAGUUAUAUACUUGAACCUUUUUGGAACGAAUUGGUGCAAAUAAGUCAUGUUGUUGAGUUUGGGAUUUGAGCUCACUCUUUUCUUUUCUUUUGUUUGUUUCUUGUUGAACUUACAUUGAACUAUCCAUAGCAACGGUUCAAAGGGAUGUCAUGUCUUUAAAUACAUGUACUGCUUCGCUUCGGAAAAGAAGUAAUAUGUUUUUUGAUUGUCGAACAAA
Molecule: RNA transcript, 1716 nt
Organism: Salvia miltiorrhiza (redroot sage)
Lineage: Eukaryota; Viridiplantae; Streptophyta; Magnoliopsida; Lamiales; Lamiaceae
Exons: 9
Source: RefSeq, a predicted model, not a curated record